Molecule: ribosomal RNA, 1391 nt
Filed under: uncultured bacterium
Lineage: Bacteria
Description: 16S ribosomal RNA
Rfam family: Bacterial small subunit ribosomal RNA
Source: RNAcentral
GAACGAACGUUGGCGGCGUGGAUUAUGCAUGCAAGUCGAGCGAGGACAGUUCGUGUAGCAAUACAGGAGCUGAGCCGAGCGGCGCAAGGGGCAGUAAUGCGUGGGUAACGUACCCCCCGGACUGGGAUAGUCCGCCGAAAGGCGGAGUAAUACCGGGCGAUGUAGCGAGUUCGCAUGAAUUUGCUAUCAAAGGUGUGAUUCCGUCGGGGGAGCGGCUCACGUGGUAUUAGCUAGUUGGUAGGGUGAUGGCCUACCAAGGCAAAGAUGCCUAGCGGGUGUGAGAGCACGACCCGCGCCACUGGCACUGAGACACUGGCCAGACACCUACGGGUGGCUGCAGUCGAGGAUCUUCGGCAAUGGGCGCAAGCCUGACCGAGCGACGCCGCGUGUGGGAUGAAGGCCUUCGGGUUGUAAACCACUGUCAGGGGGGAUGAAGUCCCGCUGGGUACUCCCAGCGGGAACGCUUGACACAUCCCCAGAGGAAGCACGGGCUAAGUUCGUGCCAGCAGCCGCGGUAAGACGAACCGUGCGAACGUUGUUCGGAUUCACUGGGCUUAAAGGGCGCGUAGGCGGUUCGCCAAGUCCGGGGUGAAAUCUUUCGGCUCAACCGGAAAAUUGCCUUGGAUACUGGCGGGCUAGAAGAGGGUAGGGGCUGCGGGAACUUCCAGUGGAGCGGUGAAAUGCGUUGAUAUUGGAAGGAACGCCGGUGGCGAAAGCGCGUGGCUGGACCCUCCUUGACGCUGAGGCGCGAAAGCUAGGGUAGCGAACGGGAUUAGAUACCCCGGUAGUCCUAGCCCUAAACGAUGGGUACUAGGCUGUGGAUGUGACAUGCGUUCACAGCCGAAGCAAAAGUGUUAAGUACCCCGCCUGGGGAGUAUGGUCGCAAGGCUGAAACUCAAAGGAAUUGACGGGGGCUCACACAAGCGGUGGAGCAUGUGGCUUAAUUCGAGGCUACGCGAAGAACCUUAUCCUGGGCUUGACAUGUGCGAAAGCGGUAGGAAGUAGCCAGCGGAAACGUUCGGCGAACGGUAUCCAAUCCGGAACCUACUACAGGUGCUGCAUGGCUGUCGUCAGCUCGUGUCGUGAGAUGUCGGGUUAAGUCCCAUAACGAGCGAAACCCUUGCUCCUAGUUGCCAGCGCGUCAUGGCGGGGACUCUAGGAGGACUGCCGGUGUUAAGCCGGAGGAAGGCGGGGAUGACGUCAAGUCCUCAUGGCCUUUAUGCCCAGGGCUGCACACGUGCUACAAUGCGGCGUACAAAGGGAUGCAAACUCGCGAGAGGGAGCCAAUCCCAAAAAACGCCGCCCAGUUCAGAUCGAAGGCUGCAACUCGCCUUCGUGAAGUUGGAAUCGCUAGUAAUCGCAGAUCAGCAAUGCUGCGGUGAAUGUGUUCC